CAAAAGCGGAGGAAAAGAAACCAACCGGGAUUGCCUUAGUAACGGCGAGUGAAGCGGCAAAAGCUCAAAUUUGAAAUCUGGUACCUUCGGUGCCCGAGUUGUAAUUUGGAGAGGGCAACUUUGGGGCCGUUCCUUGUCUAUGUUCCUUGGAACAGGACGUCAUAGAGGGUGAGAAUCCCGUGUGGCGAGGAGUGCGGUUCUUUGUAAAGUGCCUUCGAAGAGUCGAGUUGUUUGGGAAUGCAGCUCUAAGUGGGUGGUAAAUUCCAUCUAAAGCUAAAUAUUGGCGAGAGACCGAUAGCGAACAAGUACAGUGAUGGAAAGAUGAAAAGAACUUUGAAAAGAGAGUGAAAAAGUACGUGAAAUUGUUGAAAGGGAAGGGCAUUUGAUCAGACAUGGUGUUUUGUGCCCUCUGCUCCUUGUGGGUAGGGGAAUCUCGCAUUUCACUGGGCCAGCAUCAGUUUUGGUGGCAGGAUAAAUCCAUAGGAAUGUAGCUUGCCUCGGUAAGUAUUAUAGCCUGUGGGAAUACUGCCAGCUGGGACUGAGGACUGCGACGUAAGUCAAGGAUGCUGGCAUAAUGGUUAUAUGCCGCCCGUCUUAA
This 598-nucleotide ribosomal RNA is filed under the name Saccharomyces cerevisiae (brewer's yeast). RNAcentral's name for it is "partial large subunit ribosomal RNA". It matches the Rfam family "Eukaryotic large subunit ribosomal RNA", at positions 45 to 657 of the family's 3401-position model. Lineage: Eukaryota; Fungi; Ascomycota; Saccharomycetes; Saccharomycetales; Saccharomycetaceae. The record is from RNAcentral.